Molecule: ribosomal RNA, 537 nt
Filed under: Escherichia coli
Lineage: Bacteria; Pseudomonadati; Pseudomonadota; Gammaproteobacteria; Enterobacterales; Enterobacteriaceae
Description: bacterial SSU rRNA
Rfam family: Bacterial small subunit ribosomal RNA
Source: RNAcentral
UCUUGACAUCCACGGAAGUUUUCAGAGAUGAGAAUGUGCCUUCGGGAACUGUGAGACAGGUGCUGCAUGGCUGUCGUCAGCUCGUGUUGUGAAAUGUUGGGUUAAGUCCCGCAACGAGCGCAACCCUUAUCCUUUGUUGCCAGCGGUCCGGCCGGGAACUCAAAGGAGACUGCCAGUGAUAAACUGGAGGAAGGUGGGGAUGACGUCAAGUCAUCAUGGCCCUUACGACCAGGGCUACACACGUGCUACAAUGGCGCAUACAAAGAGAAGCGACCUCGCGAGAGCAAGCGGACCUCAUAAAGUGCGUCGUAGUCCGGAUUGGAGUCUGCAACUCGACUCCAUGAAGUCGGAAUCGCUAGUAAUCGUGGAUCAGAAUGCCACGGUGAAUACGUUCCCGGGCCUUGUACACACCGCCCGUCACACCAUGGGAGUGGGUUGCAAAAGAAGUAGGUAGCUUAACCUUCGGGAGGGCGCUUACCACUUUGUGAUUCAUGACUGGGGUGAAGUCGUAACAAGGUAACCGUAGGGGAACCUGCG